GUUAAAAUGGAGAGAGGAGUCUGG
RNAcentral lists this non-coding RNA (24 nucleotides) under Cricetulus griseus (Chinese hamster). The record is from RNAcentral. Lineage: Eukaryota; Metazoa; Chordata; Mammalia; Rodentia; Cricetidae.